Molecule: ribosomal RNA, 497 nt
Filed under: uncultured bacterium
Lineage: Bacteria
Description: partial 16S ribosomal RNA
Rfam family: Bacterial small subunit ribosomal RNA
Source: RNAcentral
GAUGAACGCUGGCGGCGUGCCUAAUACAUGCAAGUCGAGCGAACAGACGAGGAGCUUGCUCCUCUGACGUUAGCGGCGGACGGGUGAGUAACACGUGGAUAACCUACCUAUAAGACUGGGAUAACUUCGGGAAACCGGAGCUAAUACCGGAUAACAUGUUGAACAGCAUGGUUUAACAGUGAAAGACGGUCUUGCUGUCACUUAUAGAUGGAUCCGCGCCGCAUUAGCUAGUUGGUAAGGUAACGGCUUACCAAGGCAACGAUGCGUAGCCGACAUGAGAGGGUGAUCGGCCACACUGGAACUGAGACACGGUCCAGACUCCUACGGGAGGCAGCAGUAGGGAAUCUUCCGCGAUGGGCGAAAGCCUGACGGAGCAACGCCGCGUGAGUGAAGAAGGUCUUCGGAUCGUAAAACUCUGUUAUUAGGGAAGAACAAAUGUGUAAGUAACUAUGCACGUCUUGACGGUACCUGAUCAGAAAGCUACGGCUAACUACGUG